Haemorhous mexicanus (house finch) is the source of this 1785-nucleotide long non-coding RNA. RefSeq lists it as uncharacterized. The record is from RefSeq and is a predicted model, not a curated record. The transcript is spliced from 2 exons. NCBI's taxonomy places the organism in Eukaryota, Metazoa, Chordata, Aves, Passeriformes, Fringillidae.
AUGAAAGGAAGCACCCAGUGCAGAGUCCUGAGUUGCAUAGGGCAAGGCAGGGAGAUCUGGAAUGAGGAUUUGGGGUGUAGGUUUUGGUGUAAGCUCCUGGAAUUCUGCAGGAUUUUUGGGAAACAGGAGAAGCUUCCGAGCCUCGGAGCUGCGGCUCCUGGAGCCACCUGGGUGUGCAGGUUUGGGGCUUGCUCAGAUCCAGCUGCUGGGCUGAGUCACAUUCCCAGAAAAAAAUGAAAAACUAUCGUUAUUUACAUGGAAAGAGCCUGAGAAACUCCAUUACAAAAACGUAACCAUCAGAAGGCUUAGAAGAAUUUAGAAGAGCAGGGAGACACCUGGCUGGGCAGGAACGAGGGUUGGGAGAGUCCUUGGGAGUCGGGAAACUGGGAAUGAGAGAGCUGGGAGGCGACAGCAGACCCUGCUUUGGAUAAAGCCGAGCUCACGGAAGCCGGGCCUUGCUCCGUGUGGGAUCUGAGCCUCGUGUUGGAACGUGCCUUGACCCCAGGUGCCUCCAGGGAAUGCUGAGUCCGGGAACUCCUCGGGUUUGAGGCCCAGGGAGGCCGGGACCCACCCUGAGAUGCUUCAGAUAGGGAGAGGGAGCGAGACAAAGACCUGACGCAAGAGCUGACCUCGGACGCUGCUGACUUCCACAAGGAUUUUUUCUUUUUUCCUCGUUUUUUUUCCCUCUCUUUGAUGGUUUUUUGCAAAGCUUUCCCGCAGCUCGGGGUGGGUUUGGUCACUCUGUAAAUGCUGGUGGUGCCCAAACUCCAAAUUUGUGUCCCUGGGAUGUGUGGGAGCAUCAGAGGGAGUUCAGGAGGUUUGGGCAGCACUCAGGAACAGGGGGGGAUUUUUGGGCAGGGAGAGAUUUGAGCUGGAUGAUCCUUUGGGGGAGGGUCCUUCUCAUUUGGGAUGUUCUGGGAUUCUGUGGAAGAAAUGUCCUGUGCUGAGUUCUGCACCAAAUAUGUGUCCUUGGGAUGGACCACACAAAAUCUAUCAUGUUUAGGGGCCAAAAGGAGGAAUUUUGGGGAAGUUUUCUCCCAGUACAGCUCCUUGUUUUCUACGGACCAUCCUUUUUUAGGGUGUUUUUCCGUGGGUCCUCCUUUUCUAGGAUACUCUGGACCAUCCUUUUCUAGGAUACUGUGGAACAUUCUUUUUUAGGGUCUUUUUCUGAAACAUCCUUUAUUAAGAUACUUUUCUGUGGGUCAUCCUUUUUUAAGGUGGACCAUCCUUUAUUACUGCAUUUUUUGUGUACCAUUCUUUUUAAGGAUAUUUUUCUGUGGAUCAUCCUUUUCCAGGAUAUUUUUCUGUGAUUCAUCCUUUUUUAGGGUGUUUUUCUGUGGAUGAUUCUCAGUCCCCAUCCCUGGCGGUGUCCAAGGAAUUCCUGGAUGUGGCACUCAGGACUCUGGGCUGAGGAUGAGGUGGGGAUUGGAUUGAUGAUUUUGGGAGUCUUUUCCUCAGUGAUCCCGGGAUUCUGGGAUUGUGUUAAGUGGGAUUUAAGGGGAAAUUGUUCCUCUAAAGGUGGGGAGACCCUGAAAUGGAAUUCCCAGAUUUGCUGUGGCUGCCCCUGGAUCGCUGGCUGUGUCCAAGGCCAGGCUGGACAUUGGGCUUGGAUCCACCUGGAACAGUGGGAGGUCUCCCUGCCCAUGGAUGAGGCUGGAAUGGGAUGAGCUUUAAGCCCCUUCCAGCCCAAACCAUCCUGGAAUUCUGGGGCUUCUCCAAUUCCUCAGCUGCAGCUCCUCUCUUCACUUCAGGGGCAGCAAAUAAUUAAAAAAAUUACGACAACAA